UCUUGGUAACAAAUGAUGGUUGUCAAGCUCCCAUUCCAAUGUUUUCUGGUCAUCCUGGAUUAUAUAUAGAAGGAUCUGUUUCUCCCCCUCUUUCUGGUGUUUAUGUCUAAGAUUAUUGCUGUGGAAGAUAGCUGCACUACACCACUUAAAAAAAAUGAGACGGCACUUGAAACUACUACAGGGAUUGAUGGUUCUUUCAUUGCGGGGCCUUUAUAUGAUGAUAUAACGUACA
RNAcentral lists this unclassified non-coding RNA (232 nucleotides) under Hevea brasiliensis (rubber tree). Lineage: Eukaryota; Viridiplantae; Streptophyta; Magnoliopsida; Malpighiales; Euphorbiaceae. The record is from RNAcentral.